RNAcentral lists this long non-coding RNA (278 nucleotides) under Setaria viridis. RNAcentral describes it as "long non-coding RNA (SVIR_LNC011262)". The record is from RNAcentral. Lineage: Eukaryota; Viridiplantae; Streptophyta; Magnoliopsida; Poales; Poaceae.
CCAAGCCCUCCGCCUCCUCCUUCAUGGCCUUGAUGUCGUCGUUGCUGCCUCUGACGAACUUGUAGGGAGGCCCAUGGAUCCCUUGGCCCCUGAACUCCUUGCCUAUGGCGUAGGGCCUCCACACGAGGCGCACGACGGCGUAAUCCCACAGCCAUGCAAUGGCGGCGGCCGCUAGCAGCGCGACGAGAGCCGCCAGGGGUACGAGGAAGGCCAUGGCUGCCACGGGUAGAGCAGGGGAAGGAGGGGAUGUGUGUGUGUGUGAUAUGGCUCACUGUUGU